AAGAGCGGAUAUUUCCGACCGAGCAAGCCCAGGGAAUGUUUAUGGCUUGCCGUUGCAGACAGUCGGAGGAGGGCAAACAGCAACUGGAGCACGGAAAAGAAAGCUUUCUCAGGAGAAGAAAAUGGACUGAACCACCAUGUUGUUGUUUGUGGUUUUAAUACUUCCCUUGGGAUAAUGACAAAAACGGAAGAUGGCAAACUACCAGGAAUAUGCCACUUAUGGGAGAAACCUUCAAGGACAAGGACUGUCAAGUUCUAUCACUCUGAUUAGAGAAAGGGUGGGGGGGAAGCGUGUGUUGGUAGAGCGGAUGGGAGGGGAGCGUGAGUGAAGAAGAGAAGCCAAUUCACUACCGCAUCUCCACAGAAGUGAUACCUUCACUGCAGAGGCCCUUGAUUUCAGUCCCUGAUGUUAAUCAGUCUUUUGGAUUCAGCAAAUUCAGCAGCAAACCUGAUCAGAAGUUUACAUGUCAUCUGCCACCUCGCUUUACUGAAAAAUGGAACACUUUUACAUUUACUAAAGUAACAUAAGCAAGUUGCAGCCAUGUGUGUAAGCAUGCAGCACAUUGCCACUCUUUGGGGCAAAUAUUGCAUGAUUUGGUCGACAGCAUUAGUUAGUGCAGAGUUCUUUUUAAGAAAGAAAGAAGGAAGGAGAUGUUUACUGUAAGGAUGAAUACAGCCAAAACAAUUAAAUCAUCACAUUAUUCUACACAGGAAAAUCAAACAAACAGAUUAACACUAUGCUAUAUUUCAUGUUCAGUAUUGGUUCUGGUUGUUUUAAUCUCAGGAAGGCACUCUCUAUGAAAUGGGAAGGGGGGAAAGAUGCAACACACUUCUUUAAAAUGCAAAAUCUAAAAGUUUUAAUGGUCACCUUGUGCUUACUAGUAAGGUACUAGUUUUAUCAAACUUGCUGCUUGCUUCUUGUUGCAAUGUUUUUCCAUGCAGGUGUUUCAACUGAUAUCUGGAAUUCUCAAAUCUCAAAACAAAUGGGAGAGAACGGAAGAAGUUUGGGUUCCCCGGAACCAGCAGAGCCAGGGUAAACAAAUCUGGCAACCCUCAGAGGAGUCCUGGAGCUCUGGAGACCUGGCACGCCACAGUGGGGUUCCAGCAUCCUCCUCAACCUCACUUCAUUGUCCUGGACCCCAGGAGCAGAGGCAACGCCAGGCCUGGACCCUGCUCCAGCUUAGAAGGCAGAGCACAAGCUUGAUUGCCUGAAGUCUCCCUCUCAAUGAGUCUUCUGAGAAGGAGGGAUAAACCAGCCUGGGUGUCUCCUCGGGAAGAGUAAGGAUGAGGAUCCUUCAGUCAUCUCCACCUCGCUGGUUCAACUUUUAGAGCUUGUGCCUCCUGCCUACAUUGCUGCCUUGAUGAACCUCGGUUUGAGCAUAAAUAAAUAAAUGCUGUUCCUGUG
Hemicordylus capensis (graceful crag lizard) is the source of this 1404-nucleotide long non-coding RNA. RefSeq lists it as uncharacterized. NCBI's taxonomy places the organism in Eukaryota, Metazoa, Chordata, Lepidosauria, Squamata, Cordylidae. The record is from RefSeq and is a predicted model, not a curated record. The transcript is spliced from 2 exons.